AAGCGCUUGCAAUCAGACUUGCAUACAGUUGAUCAUCCGAUGUUCUCACCGGUGCACUCAUCUGUAUUCAGGCCAGCAUCAGUUUUGGUGGUUGGAUAAAGGCCCUGGGAAUGUAGCUUCCUUUGGGGAGUGUUAUAGCCCAAGGUGCAAUGCAGCCUACCAGGACUGAGGACCGCGCUUCGGCUAGGAUGCUGGCGUAAUGGUUGUAAGCGA
Molecule: ribosomal RNA, 213 nt
Filed under: Allantophoma sp.
Lineage: Eukaryota; Fungi; Ascomycota
Description: partial large subunit ribosomal RNA
Source: RNAcentral